Molecule: ribosomal RNA, 254 nt
Filed under: uncultured bacterium
Lineage: Bacteria
Description: partial 16S ribosomal RNA
Rfam family: Bacterial small subunit ribosomal RNA
Source: RNAcentral
UACAGAGGUCCCAAGCGUUGUUCGGAUUCACUGGGCGUAAAGAGCUCGUAGGCGGUGUGUCGCGUCGGCCGUGAAAACCUGCAGCUUAACUGUGGGCUUGUGGUCGAUACGGGCAUCACUGGAGUUCGGCAGGGGAGACUGGAAUUCCUGGUGUAGCGGUGAAAUGCGCAGAUAUCAGGAGGAAUACCGGUGGCGAAAGCGACUCUCUGGACGGCAACUGACGCUGAGGCACGAAAGCGUGGGGAGCAAACAGG